RNAcentral lists this ribosomal RNA (497 nucleotides) under uncultured bacterium. Its description in RNAcentral is "partial 16S ribosomal RNA". It matches the Rfam family "Bacterial small subunit ribosomal RNA", at positions 28 to 507 of the family's 1533-position model. The record is from RNAcentral.
GAUGAACGCUGGCGGCGUGCCUAAUACAUGCAAGUCGAGCGAACGGACGAGAAGCUUGCUUCUCUGAUGUUAGCGGCGGACGGGUGAGUAACACGUGGAUAACCUACCUAUAAGACUGGGAUAACUUCGGGAAACCGGAGAUAAUACCGGAUAAUAUUUUGAACCGCAUGGUUCAAAAGUGAAAGACGGUCUUGCUGUCACUUAUAGAUGGAUCCGCGCUGCAUUAGCUAGUUGGUAAGGUAACGGCUUACCAAGGCAACGAUGCAUAGCCGACCUGAGAGGCGGGUCGGCCACACUGGAACUUAGACACGGUCCAGACUCCUGCGGUAGGCAGCAGUAGGGAAUCUUCCGCAAUGGGCGGAAGCCUGACGGAGCAACGCCGCGUGAGUUAUGGAGGUCUUCGGAGCGUAAAACUCUGUUAUUAGGGAAGAACAUAUGUGUAAGUAACUGUGCACAUCUUGACGGUACCUAAUCAGAAAGCCACGGCUAACUACGUG